AGUGAACGCUGGCGGUAGGCCUAACACAUGCAAGUCGAACGGCAGCACAGGAGAGCUUGCUCUCUGGGUGGCGAGUGGCGGACGGGUGAGGAAUACAUCGGAAUCUACUCUGUCGUGGGGGAUAACGUAGGGAAACUUACGCUAAUACCGCAUACGACCUAUGGGUGAAAGCAGGGGGCCUUCGGGCCUUGCGCGAUUGAAUGAGCCGAUGUCGGAUUAGCUAGUUGGCGGGGUAAAGGCCCACCAAGGCGACGAUCCGUAGCUGGUCUGAGAGGAUGAUCAGCCACACUGGAACUGAGACACGGUCCAGACUCCUACGGGAGGCAGCAGUGGGGAAUAUUGGACAAUGGGCGCAAGCCUGAUCCAGCCAUACCGCGUGGGUGAAGAAGGCCUUCGGGUUGUAAAGCCCUUUUGUUGGGAAAGAAAUCCAGCUGGCUAAUACCCGGUUGGGAUGACGGUACCCAAAGAAUAAGCACCGGCUAACUUCGUGCCAGCCGCCGCCGUAA
This 506-nucleotide ribosomal RNA is filed under the name uncultured bacterium. RNAcentral describes it as "partial 16S ribosomal RNA". It matches the Rfam family "Bacterial small subunit ribosomal RNA", at positions 29 to 523 of the family's 1533-position model. The record is from RNAcentral.